Molecule: small RNA, 28 nt
Filed under: Bombyx mori (domestic silkworm)
Lineage: Eukaryota; Metazoa; Arthropoda; Insecta; Lepidoptera; Bombycidae
Description: ovarian small RNA-17153
Source: RNAcentral
GCUUCUUGCCCAUCUCAAUCGUAAAAGC